Molecule: long non-coding RNA, 1868 nt
Organism: Myotis davidii
Lineage: Eukaryota; Metazoa; Chordata; Mammalia; Chiroptera; Vespertilionidae
Exons: 5
Source: RefSeq, a predicted model, not a curated record
GCAGUUCGCUGAGGACCCCUACAAAUUGUGACCCAUAGUAACUGGAUUUGUGUGUCUCUUUGCGGCUUGCCCAUAUUAGGCGCUUAAUUAAUUUUUGUUAACUGAUCAUUGAAUUAACCACAGGCAAAUUACCUUCGGAUUUCACCUCCAUAAAUCCGGACCCCGCAAUUCCUUUGACAGGCGGAAGGAGGACUCUGGCGAUGAUUAAUAAUCGUGCCGCAAGUUCUUCUGGCCAAAGGAAGGUGUGUUUCUCAGAAGUUCAGAGGUUACUCUCUAGUUCACCCUUUCUGUUUCACACGUGGGGAGACUAAGGGUCAGAGAAGUUGGUUCACCCAUCCAAACACGCACAGCACAGCUGAAAAGACAGUUACCCAAGUCUUGGACUAAGCUUUUCUCAGCCCAGACAGCAGCAGACGGCAGGCGUCGUCCGAACCCAUGGAAAUCCCUUUUCUCAUCUUUGGAAGGCUGACUAUGAAGACACCUCGGACUGAGCGGACUGUCUGCUGCUGCCUCGGGCCAUCCCAACUGGCUGAUUUGAGGAGGGGCCUGGGAUCCGCCACCUUCUCUCUGAUGCCAACUUAGAGCUAAAACAGCAGCAGCAGCAGCAGCUCUGCCCCCUGGUGGACAUGUGAGGCAGAGCGCCUCGAAUUUCAGAAGCCGCAUCUUGGCGGCGCAGAAAACACUUCUGUUUUCUGUUUUUUUCCCCUGGACUGCUUUUUCCCCCUGCCUGCUAGCCAAACCCUGCCUCCCCACACUCUCUUCAAAUUCUAUUUCAAAUUCCACCUCCUUCAUAACUUUCCUGACUCUCCUCUCCUAUGUGUCUUUUGAAAUACAGUUGUACACAGACCCAGCACACAGCUCCCUCUUACAUGCUGUUUUCACUGCUGUUUCCUUGAAGCCUGGGGCCAUGUCUUGUGCAUCUUUUGUGUUCACAGUGCCCAGCACAGGGCUGGGGUCAAAAACUGCUCUCAAUAAGCUGCUUAAGUGCUUAAUUAAUGGGUUAAUUUCUACAGAAGCAGCUCUAGGCCCUGGCUUCAGUUAACCUUCCAGAACUCUAAGUUCUUCGGGGGAAUCUAGAUAGUGAUCUAAUAAAAUAGAGCCUUGCACAAUCAGGAGUUUCACAAAGCAGUUUCACAAGGGAACACCACCACCACCACCCAGGGAGGGGUGAGGAAGUUUGCAGUGGACUCUCAGAGGAAGGAGGAGGAUGGUGGCGACAUGGGAGAGUCACAGGAUGAAAAACUAGGAAAGGGAGCCUCUGCUCCAGGGAUCAGAGAGGCAGCACAGGCUCUGGAGCCAGUUUUAGAUGCAGAUGCCACCACCCUCUGUGCGGCCUUGGGCAGGUUUCCUCUCUGUGCCUUAGUCUUGUCACCUGUAAGCACAAGUACCCAUCUCAUAGUGAGAUGAUGAGGAAAAAUUGAGAUGAUGGAGUUGAUAAUGUGCAAAGUGCCAGAAUAGUGCCUGGCACAUAGUUAAGUGCUAUAUAACAGUUUGUAAAUGAAUUUUUCAGCUUAGCUGUCAUGUAAAUGGAAUAGGGGGACAUCAUAUGAUCUUUCCGUUCUCUUCUGCACCGACCUCGCAGGGCAGUGCAAGAGCUUUGGGGUCAGUCAGGUCUGGGUUGGCUCUUGUCUCUGUUAGCAGUUAUGUCACCUUGGGCAGAUCACGCUGCUUCUUGGGACCUCAAUUUUCUUAUCUGAGAAAUGGGGAUAAUUGUGUCUCCCUAAAAAGACUGUUGUGUGCAUUACAUUGCUUGUAAAUGCCUGGUAUAGAAGGAGCUUAAUAAACAGAAGCUAUAGCCAGGUCGGCAUGGCUUGGUGGUUGAGUGUCAGCAUAUGAAACAGGAGGUCACGGUUUGAUUCACACGCUCA